Molecule: ribosomal RNA, 483 nt
Filed under: uncultured bacterium
Lineage: Bacteria
Description: partial 16S ribosomal RNA
Rfam family: Bacterial small subunit ribosomal RNA
Source: RNAcentral
GACGAACGCUGGCGGCGUGCUUAACACAUGCAAGUCGAACGAUGAAGCCGGAGCUUGCUCCGGUGGAUUAGUGGCGAACGGGUGAGUAACACGUGUGCAAUCUGCCCUCGACUCUGGGAUAACUGCGGGAAACUGUAGCUAAUACCGGAUACGACACCUUGGGGCAUCCCAGGGUGUGGAAAGAAUUUCGGUCAAGGAUGAGCUCGCGGCCUAUCAGCUAGUUGGUGAGGUAAUGGCUCACCAAGGCGACGACGGGUAGCCGGCCUGAGAGGGUGACCGGCCACACUGGAACUGAGACACGGUCCAGACUCCUACGGGAGGCAGCAGUGGGGAAUAUUGCACAAUGGGCGAAAGCCUGAUGCAGCAACGCCGCGUGAGGGAUGAAGGCCUUCGGGUUGUAAACCUCUUUUAGCAGGGAAGAAGCGAAAGUGACGGUACCUGCAGAAAAAGCACCGGCUAACUACGUGCCAGCCGCCGCCGUAA